RNAcentral lists this long non-coding RNA (413 nucleotides) under Gossypium barbadense (sea-island cotton). RNAcentral describes it as "long non-coding RNA (GBAR_LNC009313)". The record is from RNAcentral. Lineage: Eukaryota; Viridiplantae; Streptophyta; Magnoliopsida; Malvales; Malvaceae.
AUGAAUUGGACUUCGGAGAAGAAGACGUAGCCGCGCUUCUGAGCUGCUUCGCCGGCUAGAAGGAUGAGCAGAUGGCGGGUUUCUUCGUCGGCCUGGCGGAAGUUUUGAUUGGAAAGGUGGUGUUGGAGGGUGUCAAAGGAGAUAGCUUGGGAAGUAGUUGUGGAUGUGGUGGAAGAAGGAUGAGAGAAGGUGGUGGUAGAGGAGAGAGAGGAAAGAGUGUUUGUGGUGGAGGUGGAGGAGGAGGGGGGUUUGAGGAAGAAGGAGGAGGGUGGAGGAGGAGGAGGGGUGGAGAGGCGUUUGAAGGAAGAGGAAUGGUGGUGGUGGUGAAGGGUUCUAAGAGAGUGAGUGGCAGCCAUGGUUUAGUUUGAUUGUGAGGGAACUGAGGGGGGGAUUGAAAGGCUUUUAAGACAAUG